AGCCUACUAGCUCAAUUGGCAGAGCAUUGUGCAAUUGCACAAAAGAUGUGGGUUCGAAUCCCACGUAGGUUC
Molecule: non-coding RNA, 72 nt
Organism: Spinacia oleracea (spinach)
Lineage: Eukaryota; Viridiplantae; Streptophyta; Magnoliopsida; Caryophyllales; Amaranthaceae
Source: Rfam